UCCUCCUCUUUCGGCCCCGCUUCCUGGCUCGGGAACCUCAGUCUCGCGAGCUUUUCUACCUGCGCCGGGUGGAAGCGUCUGCAGGAGGUUGCUGUAGCGAUGGUGUUGCUGACUUGUCCUUCGGGACUUGUGGGGCUGAUGUUGGGCAUGUGGCGGGUUGUCAACUCUGGACUUGCUCUCAACAGAACAGAGCCAGGCUGAGAAGUUCGAACGCGUGGACAGAACUAGGGCGAAGCCAAGCGUAGGGACUCAUGCUGUCAGCCCGAGGACUGAAGACGGGUUGGGGGUGUUUGCGUCUUUCGUGAAGACCAUGGAAGGUCGAGCCCCUCUCUCACUAAAAUCCGUUAUAGAAUCUGCGAGGCUUCUGCCGGGCAAGUGUUCCAUGGCCACGGUGAGCGGUGGGCGAUCUUAAUGUUCCACCAACGCCUUGACAGUUCCUAUUUCCCGCCGAAGCGUCCUUCCGUUAGCCUGGUAGCGCUGACCGUAAGAAGGUUCGGAGACACUGGCGGCAGCCUCCCGCUCCUCGGGGAGCUCUCGGCCUCAGGUGCCGCAAGAACGGUUUCCAGCGUCCAGUUAACGUCGCUCAGUGCGUGACACUCGCCCGAAGGCCUCGGCUCCCAGUGCAGUUCAGCCGCCUCUCCGUUCUCUUAAAUGGUCCCUCAGCUUGCCCAACUCUUGGCUCUAACCUGAAAGGGACCAAGAAAAUUAGCCUGGUCAGCUGCCAUUUGCCUGUAACGACUGCACAUGGAAAUACUGAGACGGGAGCAUCUCUUUUGAGGUCCAGGCCAGCCUAUGGUAUGUAACAGGAUUCUGCCUAUGAUCAAAGGACUUGAAUCACUAUACAUAAGUCCCUGAUAUUCUGUGACUGAUAUGGACAAAAUGUACUUUGAACCAGGGAAAAUAUUUGUUUUGGGAAGGCCAGUGAAAGCUUUUCACAGUCAGUGUUAAGAGGACACCGAAGGAUUGUGUCUAAGCGUCCUUUUCAUUGCCCACUCUAAAGGAGAAAAGAACUUUAGGAACAGCACCGGACAGAUCCUGGAAGCUCACUUAGCCUUUAGGACAGUCAUUUCAGGUGCCCAGAGCAUUCUCUGUAGAAUGUUUUUGGCCAGGGUCCAUCCAGCUCAUGCUGUAGUCUGGAAGCAUAACUGUGCUAUAUAUAGCCACACCUUCCCCAAGAGUAUUUUACAAGGAAACUACAAUUCCAAAAGAUUGUAGCCCAAAUGAGCCCUUGAUGUCCUUGAUCUUUACAAGUAAUACCUUUAUAUGUAAAAAAUUAAAAGGGCAAAGAACUGCCCCUGCUUCCUGCUAUUCAGUUUUUCUCCAGAUAACAGUGACUAUAUCACUUCCCACUUUCCAUGUGUGUGUCAGGUUAGAUUGGGGGCAGUUCCUUGGUGUGUGGCCUAUAUACUUGUACAUUUGAUUUAAUGCUGCUAUCAUCUAAAAAUGUUAUGUAGUUUUUGAACAUUGUUCAAUGAGAUGCUGAAACAUCUCAUUACUGCCAUAGAAGCUUUUAAAAAGUGACAUUUAUUCAUUUUUCCACUAGGUUUUAUGCAGUACCUUAUUUUAGAAAUAGUUUAGCAUAUGCAAAUGUGUCUAUGUCAAUACUGUAGUUGUCUUUUGAUGACUUAAAUGACUGUUUCCAGGACUCAAAUCAAUCCCAAUAUCUGUUUGAUGAAGUCUUUCAUAUAAAAUGGCAUAUGGUUUGCUUAUAACCUAUAAUGUCCUGCAGAAUAAUUUGUAUCAUCUCUGGAUUAUAUUACUAUAAUAUUUUAUAUACUUAUAUUACAAAUGCCACACCUUUUUAAAAAAGAUUUUCAUUACGUGCAUGAAUGUGUGUAUCUAUGUAUGUGUGUGUGUACCAGAAGGUUUUGGAUAACUCUAGAACCAGAGUUAUAGUUGUGAACAGCCAGAUGGGUUCUUUGUCAGAACUCUUUAACUGCUGAAACAUCUCAUUACUGCCAUAGAAGCUUUUAAAAACUGACAUUUAUUCAUUUGGUGAAGGGGGAGGCUGUGCUGCAACAUAGUGUGGAAGUCAGUUCUGGAAAUCAGAGUCAGGCUGUCAGUCUUGGUGGCAAGCACAUUUACUCAUAGAAACAUUUCUCCUGCCUGACACAGAUAUUUUUGCAGGGAAAAAAAAAAAACCAAACCAAACCAAACAAAAAACCCUCCCCUAAGCCAUAUGAAUUUGGUAGAAUGCAUGUAUAUAAUAUGUAUGUAUAUAUAUGCUGUUAUUGUUUCCACUUCUCUGAGGAUCAGACCUUCUCUGAAUGGUCUGUAUGAUUCUAUGAGGCUGUAUGUCUCUGCUGGUCUUCAGAAUAUGGCAGAAUCCUGCAGAAGUAGACUCCAGUGAAGGAAUGGACUUGCCAGUGAGAUCAAGAGUAGGAACAAGCAGGCAAAGAGACCAAACUUCUUUCUUCCAUGUCCUUUACAUAGGCUGCCAGCAGAAGGUGUGGCCCAGAUUAAAGGUGAUCUUCCCAAUUCAAAUGAUUUCAUUAGGGAAAAAAAAAUCCCUGUGUACCCAGGUCACUGUCUUAGUUGGGGGUUUAUUGCUGUGAAGAAACACCAUGACCAUGACAACUCUUGGGGAAAACAUUCAUUGGGGCUGGCUUAUAGCUUAGAAGUUCAGUCCAUUAUCAACAGGCAGGAAGCCUGGGCACACAAGUAUACAUGGUGCUGGAAAGGAGCUGAGAGUUCUACAUCUUGAUCUACUUGUUUUGUUAAGUGGUUUAGGUGGUCAUCUGAAAGUGUUUUUGUUUUUCUCUGAUAUACCUUUUAAUUUCAUAACAUUGAUAAGACCACCAGAAGUGCUGAAUAAUACUGGUGCUUGUUUUGUUCUUGACUUUGACAGCCAUGCCUUUAGUGUUAUGUUUGUAAUACUUAAAAGAUUUAUUUAUGUGUAUAUCAAUGUGCAUUCAGGAUCCUGGUGAGUAGAAGUGGAUGUUGGAUGCCUUCAAACUAUAGUUUACUGGUGGUUGAUAUAAACUAUCACUCUAAGCCACCAUGUGGGUGCUGAGAACCCAGCCUAACUGCUGAGCCGUCUCUAGCCCAUUUCUAAUUUUUGACUGAUAUUUGCCAAAUUAUGGACAUUGUAUAUAUUGAAUUUUGUAAGUCACUUCUCUGGGAACUGGUGAUAUGUUUUCCCCUCAAUAUUUUUAUUAUUUUAUAUUUUAUGAUAAUUACCUACAUAUUUUAUACUUUUUGUUUUUUUGCAUCAUUUUCUAGUUUAUGAAUUCUUGGGAAUUACGGUAAUUUUUAUAGGCACAAUUUAAAAAUAUUAAUAGGCAACUGCUAAUAUAGUUUUCAUGAAACAUGGUGUUUUUCAGUAUUCCCAGCACAUGUAGAAUAAAGUUCAGUCUUAAUUCUAAACUGCUUUACUGUAUACUCUUACUUUCAUUUGCUUAUGAAACAACUACUACUCAACAGUCUGCCUCUCUCCUGUCAUCAUCAUUCAUUAAAGCCAGGCUUACCUACUGACCUCUAUAUAUUAAGAAGCAAUUCAAAUUCCACUGUUUAGAAAGUUACACUGUUUUUUUUUUUUUCUAGUUAAUAGCCUGCUUUCUCUACCCAACUUGGUAUUUUUAGAAAGAUUAGGUUGUACUAUGUUACCCAGACAAGGGUUAAAUAUCUGGGUUUAAGAGAUUCUUCUGCUUUAGCCUCCUAAGGAGCUUGGGGAUUGCAGGUGCCUGCCAGCAUGAUCAACUCUUAUUACUAUAAAAUGACUUUGUGUGUGAAUGUGCAGAGGUCACAAUUAAACCUCAGAUAGCAUUUCGAGAUAGGGCCUCUUCACUGGCUUGGAAUUUGGCCAGUGAGCCCCAAGGUUCCACCUGUCUUCAUCUCCCUGGUAUUGGGAUUACAAAUUCAAGCCACCAUGUUUGGAUUUUUUAACACGUGUUCUGGAUAUUAAACUCUGUCACACCCAUAAUAAAAAUACAUGGUUAUUCAUUUAUUAUGUGUACAUGCAUAUAUAUGUCCCAUGACAUACGUGUGGAGAUCAGGACUUGUGUGAGUCAAUACUCUCCUCAUAUUAUGUGGGUCUCUCAGAUCAAACUAAGGCUUGACGGCAAGUGCCUUUACCCACAGAAGCAUCUUGCUGGCCCAACUUUUUUUUUUUGAAAACUUUUUUUAAAAAGCAUUUAUUGUACAUGUUUACACUCUCUUGAAGUAUGUAUGAAGUCAGAGGACAACUCAGGGAAGUCAGUUCUUUUCUUCCAUUACAUGGGCCUAGGAAUUGAACUUAGACUGUCAAGACUUGGUGGCAAGUAUCUAUCUCUGUUGAGCCAUCUUAUUAGCCCCUACCAUGACUUUAAAAAACAUCAGAGCCAUGAUGCAUAUAAGCAACUCCCAACAUUUGAGAGGUAGAGGCAGAAAGACAGCUCCAAGUUAGGUCAGCCUGUUUUAUAGUACACUCCAGGGAAGUUAUAGUUACAAGAACCCUUUGCUAGAGUGCCUAUCAACUUAAUUAGUAACUAUAUUAAUAUAAACAAUAAGUUUCCAAAGGAAACAAAGUACAACAUACUGUAGCACUAUGCUCAUAAAAGGCUGGUUUUUUAUUUAUUUUUGUUUGAUAAUGUGUGUGUGUAUGUGUGUGUUAUGUUUUGCCAAGGCCUAUUAACAUUUUCCAAUUGAAAAGGAAAGAGUCACAAGAUUCACCAUUGGGUUGGGAAUUUAUUUUGAGGUAUCUUAAUGUCUCUUGCCCAUUGUUCCCAUACAUAGACCCAAUAAAUUCACUUGUUGGUGAACUUGAUUUGGAUUGACUACUUUGGUUCAUAGAUACCCUGUCUCUGGGGUGGAUAGAUUUCGAGAAGUCAUGCAAAAACUGCUUUCUAUCACAGCCAUCUAUAUGUUGGUUGAUACUUUCACUUUUAUUUAGCUAGUUUUCCACUGAUAGCAGAUCUAUUAUCUUUACAACCUUCAGGCUAAAGUUAGCAGUGUAACUGCUUCCUCCUCUUUCAACUUUAUAUUCUACUUCCCUGUGAGAUAAUCAAGCAGAACUGUUUGAGCUUUUGUUGACUUCUAAGACUUGCUGUCAGUUAAGUGUAGGGAUAGGAUUUGUCUGUGAAACAAACUCAUGGCUGUGAUACAUCUUCACUUUUACAGUGCUUUUUAAUCCCCUGACAAUGGGUCUUUUAUAUUUUCUUUCCCAUUUCUAUGGCCUGUCAUCUUAUUGUCAAUUUUCAUGAGAAAGCAUUUGUCAAAGCCUGUUAAACUGUUCAUGAUUUUCUUUCCUUGGAAAUAAGUAAGCAUAUGCUUGCCUGAUGAAAUGUUUUGAAAAUAUUACCUGCUAUCUUUACUUGUUAUAUUCUCAAUACAAAACAAAAGAUUAAGCUUUGUAAAAUUGGUUUCUAAAAUGAAUUAUUUUUGCUUCUGGGGUGAAGACCUCUAUCUGCAAUUCUCUUUCUCAAAAUGUCUUUACAUUUGCUUCCUCUAAUUUAUUCAGGUCUCCUUUUAAAUAUCUAUUCAUUGAAGUGGCUCUGUAUCAUUUCAUUUGAAAGAACAAUUUAUCAUUUGUCCUGGUUGGGGUGGUGGGUUUUUUUUUUUAUUCGUCAACUUAUGUAAGCCAGGAUCAUCAUUAAGUGAGAAAAUGCUUCCAACUGAUUAGCCUAUAGUCAAGUCUAUGGGGGGCAUUUUACUGAUUAAUGCUUGAUAUGCAAGGGCCCAGUUCACUGGGUAUGGUACUAGUACAAUCCCUGGAGAGGUGAUCCUGGAUGGUAUAAGAAAAUAGGCUGAGGAAGGCAUGGGGAGCAAGCUAGUAAACAAAUCCUUUCCUCCCGAAGGGCAGAUCAAUUUUACCCAAUUUACCCUUACCCAAAUGCCUUUCUAAUUUAAAGUAUCUGCUACUAUGUCAUGUGUUACAUACUUGUUUACUAAGCAUGUUAGAACUUUAGCUCUGCUUGCUGACAUCACUGCACAUUUCAUAGUGCUUAGUUCAUAGUAAAUGUUGAAUGAAUGAAUUCAGUUUGGCUAAGUAAGCUGAAUGAGACAGCUACUGAUGUUCAUGCUUCUUAGAUCUAGAAAAUUAAGAUGUUUAGGAAGGGAAGGAAAAUAGUCACAUAAAACCCAUAAUUUGAGUAAGGAAGAUGGCUUGGCGGGGAAAGGUGCUUGUUGUAAGUUUGAUGACCUGAAUUCAUUUCUUGGGACCCCAAAGUGGAAGGAGAAACCCAACUCCUGUAAGUUGUACUGAUUCCCACACAUGCACAGUAGUUUGUAAGUAUACAAAAUAAAUAAAUGUAAAAAAAAAUUGAACACUAAUUUAAUUAUGUCAAAAUAAAGGUUAUAAAGGAA
Molecule: long non-coding RNA, 6282 nt
Organism: Mastomys coucha (southern multimammate mouse)
Lineage: Eukaryota; Metazoa; Chordata; Mammalia; Rodentia; Muridae
Exons: 2
Source: RefSeq, a predicted model, not a curated record